Molecule: ribosomal RNA, 254 nt
Filed under: uncultured bacterium
Lineage: Bacteria
Description: partial 16S ribosomal RNA
Rfam family: Bacterial small subunit ribosomal RNA
Source: RNAcentral
UACGGGGGGGGCAAGCGUUGUUCGGAAUUACUGGGCGUAAAGGGCGCGUAGGCGGCCAGACAAAGUCGAGCGUUAAAUUCCAGGGCUUAACCCUGGGCUGUUGCUCGAUACUAGUCGGCUAGAGUGUGGAAGAGGGUGCUGGAAUUCCCGGUGUAGCGGUGAAAUGCGUAGAUAUCAGGAGGAACAUCUGUGGCGAAGGCGACUACCUGGACCAGCACUGACACUGAGGCACGAAAGCGUGGGGAGCAAACAGG